Empidonax traillii (willow flycatcher) is the source of this 785-nucleotide long non-coding RNA. RefSeq lists it as uncharacterized. The transcript has 3 exons. Lineage: Eukaryota; Metazoa; Chordata; Aves; Passeriformes; Tyrannidae. The record is from RefSeq and is a predicted model, not a curated record.
GUGCAGGCGGUGGCUGCCCGCCGGCCUUUUCCGAGGAUGUCAGCGUCAUCCGUGAGGCGUAGCGGGGAGAGGAUGGUUGGAGAAUUCGAGGACUUCCCAGGAAGGGUUAGGGGUGCUGCUCCACGCUGGGACCCUCCUCAAGGGCUGGGUGUGGGCACCAUGAAGCAGAUUGGACCUGAAAGAUGACUGCUCCCGGCAGGAACCUUUUUUCAAGCUCAGCUUCAUGAGAUGCCCCAAAUGCUGGCAGGAGGAACACUAGCCGGGCAGUCACCAGAAGCCAAAAGUUCAAUGACUUCAUCUUUGGGCCCGCUGGUGAUUGAACUAUUUACAGAAGUAGAUGGCAUUGGUGUGAUGAAAUAAAAUCUGCUUUGGAGGGGGACGCAUGUCCCCAGCCACUCACACUUAGGCUCUGCUCUCCCAGAAUGACCACGAGCACUGGAAAGCCUGCAGUUCACUCUAAAAGAGGACUUCUGGCCAGUGAUUAACUUGGCAAGGGGCAGUGUUAUUUGGUAUUUGACAAAGGCCUUAAAAGUAAAACUGGAGCGAAAGGAGAUUGAAUGGGAAAGCUGGGAAUCAGGUCAUCACGACACUGCUCAGUUUGAAGCACUGUGACACAGCAGAGCUGUCCCACUGGCAACGGGCAUGGCCUUUGGUGUGCUCAUACCUCCCAGGAUCUGAGUGCCCGGACCCGUAGAUGCAGUGUGGAUCCCUCCCAGCCAGCAGAAGUGGUUCCCAUUUCCACUGCCAGGGACAGUGACUCUUGUAAAGUUAAUUAAUCUCUUCAU